GCCACUGCUGACCAGUGGCGCCCUGACACCGGUACCUGACACGGCCGGUGCAG
Non-coding RNA from Streptomyces xiamenensis, 53 nucleotides. NCBI's taxonomy places the organism in Bacteria, Bacillati, Actinomycetota, Actinomycetes, Kitasatosporales, Streptomycetaceae. The record is from Rfam.